Molecule: transfer RNA, 76 nt
Filed under: Stenotrophomonas maltophilia
Lineage: Bacteria; Pseudomonadati; Pseudomonadota; Gammaproteobacteria; Lysobacterales; Lysobacteraceae
Also listed under: 1 other name
Description: tRNA-Lys
Rfam family: tRNA
About the family: Transfer RNA (tRNA) molecules are approximately 80 nucleotides in length. Their secondary structure includes four short double-helical elements and three loops (D, anti-codon, and T loops). Further hydrogen bonds mediate the characteristic L-shaped molecular structure. tRNAs have two regions of fundamental functional importance: the anti-codon, which is responsible for specific mRNA codon recognition, and the 3' end, to which the tRNAs corresponding amino acid is attached (by aminoacyl-tRNA synthetases). tRNAs cope with the degeneracy of the genetic code in two manners: having more than one tRNA (with a specific anti-codon) for a particular amino acid; and 'wobble' base-pairing, i.e. permitting non-standard base-pairing at the 3rd anti-codon position.
Source: RNAcentral
GGGCCGUUAGCUCAGUCGGUAGAGCAGAAGACUUUUAAUCUUUUGGUCAAUGGUUCGAAUCCAUUACGGCCCACCA